CGGUUGAUCCUGCCGGAGGCCACCGCUAUUGGAGUUCGAUUAAGCCAUGCGAGUCGAGAGGGUUAAACCCUCGGCGGACGUCUCAGUAACACGUGGAUAAUCUGCCCUCGGGUGGGGGAUAACCUCGGGAAACUGAGGAUAAUACCCCAUAGGUCUGCGAUGCUGGAAUGCUUGCAGGUCGAAAACUACGGUGCCCGAGGAUGAGUCUGCGGCCUAUCAGGUCGUAGUGAGGGUAAAGGCCUCACUAGCCGACGACGGGUACGGGCGUUGAGAGACGUUGCCCGGAGUUGGACUCUGAGACACGAGUCCAGGCCCUACGGGGCGCAGCAGGCGCGAAAACUUCGCAAUGCGGGAAACCGCGACGAGGGAACUCCAAGUGCUGCCACACAGUGGCAGCUGUUCAUCUGUCUAAAAAACAGGUGAAGUAAGGGCUGGGUAAGACUGGUGCCAGCCGCCGCGGUAAUACCAGCAGCCCAAGUGGUGGCCGCUUUUAUUGGGCCUAAAGCGUCCGUAGCCGGGCUGGUAAACCCUUGGGUAAAUCGUACAGCUUAACUGUACGACUUCCGAGGAGACUGCCAGCCUUGGGACCGGGAGAGGUCGGAGGCACUCCUGGGGUAGGGCUGGGUUCCUGUAAUCCCAGGAGGACCACCGGUGGCGAAGGCGUCCGACUAGAACGGGUCCGACGGUAAGGGACGAAGCCCUGGGUCGCGAACCGGAUUAGAUAUCCGGGGAGUCCAGGGUGUACCCGCUGCGGGCUUGGUGUUGGGGGUCCUACGAGGGCGCCCAGUGCCGGAGAGAAGUUGUUAAGCCCGCCGCCUGGGGAGUACGGUCGCAAGACUGAAACUUAAAGGAAUUGGCGGGGGAGCAC
Molecule: ribosomal RNA, 868 nt
Filed under: uncultured archaeon
Lineage: Archaea
Description: bacterial SSU rRNA
Rfam family: Archaeal small subunit ribosomal RNA
Source: RNAcentral